AAUAUUUGACAAUGGGCGGAAGCCUGAUCCAGCCAUGCCGCGUGUGUGAAGAAGGNCUNNGGAUUNUNAAGCACUUUAAUUUGNNNNNAAGGGUUUACACCUAAUACGUGUGACCUUUGACGUUACCAAAAUAAUAAGCACCGGCUACCGUCGUCCCAGCAGCCAAGGUAAUACGAAGGGUGCAAGCGUUAAUCGGAAUUACUGGGCGUAAAGCGCGCGUAGGUGGUUCGUGAAGUUAGAAGUGAAAGCCCCGGGCUCAACCUGGGAAUUGCUAUCAAAACUGGCGAGCUAGAGUACGGUAGAGGGUGGUGGAAUUUCCUGUGUAGCGGUGAAAUGCGUAGAUAUAGGAAGGAACAUCAGUGGCGAAGGCGACCACCUGGACUGAUACUGGCACUGAGGUGCGAAAGCGUGGGGAGCAAACAGG
Molecule: ribosomal RNA, 424 nt
Filed under: uncultured bacterium
Lineage: Bacteria
Description: partial 16S ribosomal RNA
Rfam family: Bacterial small subunit ribosomal RNA
Source: RNAcentral